UUUAAGCGCAACCAUGAGUUUCCGUGUUCAACUUUGAUCGUUCGUAUUAUUUGAAUUUUUUUAUGAUUAGUAUUUUUAUUGUUAUUAGAUGAUAAAUCAUGAAUAAUACUUUAUGUGUGACUUAUGUUUUUUUAAAAAAAAUCAAAUAAGACGGAUGAUUAAAGUUAAACACAGAAACUUAUGUCUAUGUUUAAA
Molecule: microRNA precursor, 195 nt
Organism: Oryza sativa Indica Group (long-grained rice)
Lineage: Eukaryota; Viridiplantae; Streptophyta; Magnoliopsida; Poales; Poaceae
Rfam family: MIR812 microRNA precursor family
Source: Rfam